Non-coding RNA from Pelobates cultripes (western spadefoot toad), 137 nucleotides. Lineage: Eukaryota; Metazoa; Chordata; Amphibia; Anura; Pelobatidae. The record is from the annotation of a GenBank genome assembly.
GGAGUAGAUACCAAGACCUAGAAUAUUCAUGAUAUACACUUUUAAAUACAGAUAUUUAAUAUAUAUAUUCAUCUAACACAGUAUAUCUGUAUCUAUACAUGUAUAUCACAAAUAUUCUAGGUCUUGGUAUCUACUCC